RNAcentral lists this ribosomal RNA (465 nucleotides) under uncultured Klebsiella sp. Its description in RNAcentral is "bacterial SSU rRNA". It matches the Rfam family "Bacterial small subunit ribosomal RNA", at positions 338 to 795 of the family's 1533-position model. The record is from RNAcentral. Lineage: Bacteria; Pseudomonadati; Pseudomonadota; Gammaproteobacteria; Enterobacterales; Enterobacteriaceae.
CCUACGGGUGGCAGCAGUGGGGAAUAUUGCACAAUGGGCGCAAGCCUGAUGCAGCCAUGCCGCGUGUGUGAAGAAGGCCUUCGGGUUGUAAAGCACUUUCAGCGGGGAGGAAGGCGGUGAGGUUAAUAACCUCAUCGAUUGACGUUACCCGCAGAAGAAGCACCGGCUAACUCCGUGCCAGCAGCCGCGGUAAUACGGAGGGUGCAAGCGUUAAUCGGAAUUACUGGGCGUAAAGCGCACGCAGGCGGUCUGUCAAGUCGGAUGUGAAAUCCCCGGGCUCAACCUGGGAACUGCAUUCGAAACUGGCAGGCUAGAGUCUUGUAGAGGGGGGUAGAAUUCCAGGUGUAGCGGUGAAAUGCGUAGAGGUCUGGAGGAAUACCGGUGGCGAAGGCGGCCCCCUGGACAAAGACUGACGCUCAGGUGCGAAAGCGUGGGGAGCAAACAGGAUUAGAUACCCCUGUAGUC